Long non-coding RNA from Marmota monax (woodchuck), 9179 nucleotides. RefSeq lists it as uncharacterized. The transcript has 8 exons. The record is from RefSeq and is a predicted model, not a curated record. Lineage: Eukaryota; Metazoa; Chordata; Mammalia; Rodentia; Sciuridae.
UUCAACCAUGCCCAAACUAGCUGCAGUUCAUACCACCUCCCAGUAUUGUAUUCAUCUUGAAUGAGUAUUUCAUGAUAACAUCAGAGCACUCACCAUCGAAUGCUUCCCCCAAAACUGACCUAUGAUCAUUGCUGAAUUGGGGACCAGUCACUCAACAUUUGAGCCUUUUGCAGGAGAUUCUGGAUGCAAACCCUUGCAGUGUCCUAUGGCAGAUACAAGAGGAACUGAAAUGUUCUGCCAAAGCAGCAGAUAUUAUGUCUGUUGAAGUCAUUUUUUCCUCAGGAAGAACUAUUGAGGACAUCUUUGUAGGUAUUGGAGCUGAAUUGGUGAACUCGCAGGUCUGUGGAUCAUGCCUUUCCUGACAGAGGCUCUCAGAUGUUGGGAGUGUCCUGUGGUGCAUCUGUUGAAAGCCACCUAAUACCUGUAUUCUCCUCUCUCCCCAGAGCUGAAGAUUCCCCAUGAUGCAAAUAUCUUUUAUUCCCUGAAUCCUUGAGUCAAGUAUGACUUUGUACUGAGGAAGAAGAUCUUCCCAAGUAAGAAGAACAAUGAGUGGAUCCAGCCCAAACCUCCCCCUCAUGAUGCAACAGAGGCUCAAAAUCACCACAGGAACCUUAAAAGAACAUUUUGCAGCUCUCCGACUGGAAUAUUACUCUCUGAAAAAAGCAUAUACAAGAAGUAUAAAGUGAGAUGGAAGGCACGGCGCUCGGCACAGGUGGAAGGUGGAGCUGCGUGGUGCUUGGUGCAGAACACAGAGGCUUUGCUUGCGGGUCACCAGACCUAGCUCUGGACAAAGCACAAGGUCACCCCAGUAUCCCCCACCUCACCAAAUACCCUAUGCGGGAAACAGACGGAAUCCAUUUUGGAAAACCUUACUCCCCAUCUAUCGGUGAGCGUGGCUACCAGCGUGGUUCUGUGGCUGAUCAGGAGUCUUAUUAAGGAAUUUGGGGCCUGCCCCCACGAGAUGAAGAUGAGGACCAACUUUAUCUUCUAUUAGACGCAGAGUCUCUGGUCUGAUUCCUCAGUCGGCCAUCUUGAAAGCCUGACCGUGCAGAACCCCUGAAGCUCUCCUGGGAGGAACCAUCACCACCCUCGGAAAGGCCACCUCAACUUGGAGAAGAGGACCAAGGCUCAUCAGUGGAUGUGUCCUGUCUUGUGGAAACCCUGACAUACUUCUCUGGGAGCUCGAGGAUGGCCUGGUGCCUGCCCUGCAGCAGGGGAACACCCCCUGUGUCCAUGGGGUUUUGUAUUUGUACCAGGAUUUGGCCAGUACCCAGAAGGCUCUGGAGCUGCUGGGUAAAAGGUAUGGACGCCUCCAGCCAUAUGUUGAGGAGGAGUACCUUCAAGACAAGAAAUCAUGACUCACCUUCUUCUCAUUCCCUAAGAAACAAUAUUGAAGUUAGACCAGUUAAUUACUCUGUAAUGGACUGAACAGUUGGAAUAAAAGGAAGAGUUCCAUGUUUUGCAUUCCAAAUAGAAAGCUGUGCCUUGGCUGGGCUGUAGCUCAGUGGCAGAGUGCUUGCCUAGAAUGUAUGAGGCACUGAGUUCAAUCCUUAGCACUACAAAAAAAAAAAAAAAAAAAAAAAAAAAAAAAAAAAAAAAAAAACAACUAAACAAAGAAAGGCAUGCUGUUGAUCUAAAACUAUUUAAAAGAGAAAGAAAGAAAGAAAGAAAGAAAGAAAGAAAGAAAGAAAGAAAGAAAGAAAGAAAGAAAAGAAAGAAAGAAAAGAAAAAAAAGCUGUGCCUCUUGAAUAGUUAGUCCCAAUGAGAAUGCAAGGGAAAUGUUCAUAAAGAAAAUUAAAGUGCUGCUCCAGGGCAUAUGUGAAUGAUAAGAAAGCAAAACAGCUGAUAGGGAUAAAGUUUUCAUAGUCUGGAGAACAGAUGAAACAAACCACAUUCCCUUAAGCCAAAACCGCAUCCAGAUAAGGCCAAAACAUUAGAUUUUUCUGAUGCCAAGAGAAGGGAGAAAGCUCCAGAAGAAGUCUGAAGGUGGCAGAAUUUGGUUCAUGAUGUUCGAGGCAAGCGGCCCAUCUCCAUAUAAGACAAGUGCAGGGUGAAGCAGCAAGUGCUGAUGUAGAAGCUACAGCAAGUCAUGAAGAAGAUCUUGCUAAGCUAUCUGAUGAAGACGCGAUAUGGUUGAGUUUCUCGGUGUCCCCAAAAAGCUCAUGGGUGAGACAAUGCAAGAAGGUUCAGAGGGGAAAUGAUCCUGUUAUGAGAGCCUAAAGCCAAUUAGUGAAUUAAUCCCCUGGCAGGAUGAACAGGUGGCACAGAUAAAAUGGGGUGCCCACACCCUCCCCAAGCCUGGAGGUGUAGGCGCCACCUAUGGAGGAGUCCAGUUGAGGGUGGAAGCGAACAGCAGUCAUCCUCAACGUUCCACAUUAGGGUUCCACAUUGGAGGUUCCCAGCAACCAGCGGCAUCCCUCUGCGGGCAGGGCAUUCAUCAGCGAGCCUAGGCGCCCUAAGGCCCUUUGGGGAGUCCAGUUGAAUCGGUGGCUGCAUGGAAAUAGGCGUCCAAAUAGGAGCAUCCUCAUCCAUUGGCGGUGGCGGGAGUCUGCUUCCAGUGCAGUGGAGGUGUUGGCAGCAUUGCUGGUGGCCAGGUCGGGACUCCAGUGGCCACAGUGUGGAGCGCUGGCUGUGGCGACAGCGACAGCGUAGGACAGCGGGCCUCAGAGUCAGAGGGCGACCAGAGGAUGGGGUGCCCUGUGCUGUGGCUUCCCCAGGCCACUUGUCUUGCUCCUGGCAGGGCCUGCCUGCUCAGGAAGCAGGACACGGCAGGCGGCGGUACCCACACAGCCUCUGAGGACCUUAUGCUGCGCACGCAGGUGGCGCCUGGCACCGGCCCUGAGCCCCCCGGGUGGCAGCUCGCCCCACCCCGGGUUCACCCUGCCCCUCCCUGGGUUGCGGCCUCUGGGGGGGGAGUAGGCCCGCUGCCAGCCGGGGCAGCCUUUGGAGAGGACACCCACCCUCCCCAGCGACAUCUCUCCUGGGCUGUGGCCACUGAGAGCAGAGGCAGUGGGGGGUGGGGCUACAAAUCUUCCCCCUCAAAGCGCAUCCCUGGAGCGGGACAAGAGUGGAGGGCAUAGAUGGCAGAGGGAACCCCAAGACGUGCCGUCCUUGGUCUUGGUCUUCUGCCACCCUUAGACAAGGAAAUGUACUUUAAAAAAAAUAAUUAGCUCUAAUUAGUUGUACAUAACAGCAGAAUUCACUUUGGUUCAUUGUACAGAAAUGGAGCACAGCUUUUCAUUUCUCUGGUAGAACACGAUGUAGAGUUGCACCAUAUGUGCAGUCCUGCAUGUACCUAGGGUAAUGAUAUCCCUCUCAUUCCACCCUCUUUCCUACCCCAUGCCAGUCCCUCCUAUCCUUCCCCUUUGCCCCAAGUUCCUCCAUUCUUCCCUUGCCCCCCUCAUUAUGGAUCAGCAUCCACUUAUCAGGGAGAACAUUCAGCCUGUUGUUUUUGAGGAUUAGCUUUUUUCACUUACAUAAUAUUCUCCAACUCCAUCCACUUACCUGCAAGUGUCAUAAUUUUAUUCUCUUUUAAAGCUAAGAUUCCAUUGUGCACAUAUACCACAUUUUCUUUAUCAGUUUAGCUCUUGAAGGACUUCUAGGUUGGUUCCACAGUUUACCUACUGUGACUUGAGCUGCUAUAAACAUUGAUGUGGCUGCAUCACUCUAGUAUGCUGAUUUUAAGUCUUUUGGGUAUAGAUUGAGGAGUGGAAUUUCUGGGUCAAAUGGAGGUUCCAUUCCAUGUUUUUUGAGGAAGCUCCAUACUGCUUUCCAGAGUGGUUGUACCAAUUUGCAAUGCCACUAGCAAUGUAUGAGUAUACCUUUCCCCCCCACAUCCUCACCAACACUUAUUGUUGCUUGUAUUCUUGUUAACUGCCAUUCUGGCUGGAGUAAGAUGGUCUUAGAGUAGUUUUGAUUUGCAUUUCUCUAAUUUCUGGUGAAGUUGAACAUAUUUUCAUAUAUUUGUUGAUCGACUGUGUAUCUUCUUCUGUGAAGUGUCUGUCCAUUUCCUUAGCCCAUUUAUUGAUUGGGUUAUUUAUUCUUUGGGUGUUGAAGUUUUUGAGUUUUUUAUAUAUCCUGGAAAUUAGUGUUUUAUCUAAUGUGCGUGUAGUAAAGAUGUUCUCCCACUCUGUGAGCUCUCUCUUCAUAUUAUUGUUUCCUUUGCUGAGCAGAAGCUUUUAAGUUUGAAUCCAUCCCAUUAUUAAUUCUUGAUUUUAUUUCUUAAGUACAGGGUCUCUGGUCUAAUUCCUAGGUCCUUGAUCUACUUUGAGUUUUGUGCAAGGUGAGAGAUCGUGGUUUAAUUUCAGUCUGCUACAUAUGGAUUUACAGUUUCCCCAGCACCAUUGUUGAAGAGGCUAUCGUUUAGCUAAUGUAUGUUUUCGGCACCUUUGGCAAGAAUGAGAUAACUACAUUUAUGUGGGUUUUUCUCUGUAUCUUCUAUUUUGGACCAUUGGUCUACAUGUGUAUUUUGGUGCCAAUAGCAUGCCGUUUUUGUUACUACAGAUCUGUAGUAUAGUUUAAGGUUUGAUAUUGUGAUGUCUCCUACUUCACUCUUCUUGCUAAGGAUUGCUUUGUCAAUAAGGAUUUCUCUGUGUCUACUUUUCCAAAUGAAUUUCAUGAUUACUUUUUCUAUUUCUAUGAGGAAUGUUAUUGGGAUUUUAAUUGGAAUCACAUUAAAUCUGUAUAAGGUUUUUGAUAGUGUGGCCAUUUUGACAAUAUUAAUUCCAUGAGGGAGGAAUUGGAAUCAGGUACCUGCUCAAAAGGGGACGGAUCCGAUAGCCACACCCACCUCAAAAUGGCAAGGAAUGCUUUCCAAGAUGUAGUCGGUGUGCUUCCAGAGCCGGGGUGUCUGGUGAUGUCAGGGGAACCAAUGGCCUUGUGCUGUGGGGAGGUAGCAGCUGAGUGACCUGCGUGGGAGUGGAGCGGAGUCUCGGCGGUCUGCAGAUGUGUUGGUAGGUGGUUCUGCUAAGGCGCUGGCCGAGUCUUAAGUGAACUGCAACUUUGGCUUUGGGUCCUGCUCGGACACUGAGGCCCGGAGUCCUGCGCAAGGUCACAGCGCUGGUCAUUUCUGUAGAGAGAAGCUGUACAGGGGCCUCUAACACUCUCAAGAGAUGCAGAAUUCCUACUAGGAGAGAGAUCUGGGUCACAGAGCAACACAGAUGCUGCUUCCCUCUGGUCCGCCAUCUUGAAAGUCUUUUCAAUUUCUUUCUUUAGUUUUCAUUGUAUAGGUCUUUCAUCUCUUUUGUUAAAUUUAUACCCAAAUAUUUCAUUUUUGAGGCUAUUGUGAAUGGGAUAGUUUUCCUAAUUUCUCUUUCAGAGGGUUCAUCACUAAUAGAUAGAAAUGCAUUAGAUUUAUGGAUAUUGAUUUCAUAUCCUGUGACAUUGCUGAAUUUGUUAAUAUUAGAAGUUUUCUGGUGGAGUUUUUUUGGAUCCUGUAUGUGUAGAAUCAUGUCAUCAGCAAAUAGGGAUAGUUUGAGUUCUUCUUCCCCUAUUCCUAUCUGCCGCAGUCUGGCUGGGCACAAUCAGGAGCCACUUGUCAAAAGAAACUAACUUUAUUUUUAGAACCACACACGCCAAACAAAACAGCCUCUCAGGAAAAACCCUCAGAGCCUCAACUGCCACCACCGGCUUUCCACAAGCCUCUCUCUCCCACACAAGCUUCUCUCCACCUCCCACAAUCCUCCUGCUCUUGAGGCCGAUUGGCUGGGUCACGUGGGCGGAGCCAAAAAAGUCCCCCAAUGAGCAGCUCCGUGGUCUGAAAGGGCAGGGAAACAGCCCAAUGAGCAUCACCGCAGAGGAGCCAAUCAGCUAGAUGUUGCUGGGGCCGCUGUGAGCCAAUCAUCAGCCAGCAGCUGGAAGUUUGCUGGCAGCUGGAAGUUUGCUGGGGCCCCUUUGGCUGUGGCUCUCAACACCUAUCCCUUUAAUUUCUUUCAUCUACAGCUCUGUUGUGUAGUCUAAGCUGUAGUGGAGUUUAAACAGCAGUAUAGUUUAAACUCUGGCUAGAGUAUCAGGGACUAUGUAGAGUAGAAGGUGAGAGAGGGCAUCCUUGUCCUGUUCCAGUUCUGAGAGGAAAUGCUUCCCAUCAGAAAUGCACUUUGAGGAUGAAGAGGUCCUAGUUCCUCUGCUCUCUCCCCCCACAGCCCAGGUGGGAUGUCUCUUAGGAAGGUGGGGGUCCUCUCCCAAGGCUGCCCCACCUGGCAGAUGGCCCAGUUCCCCUGCAGAGGCCACAUCGGGGAUGGGGCGAGCAGCCACCCGGCGGGCUCAUGGCCAGUGCCAGGCGAGGCAGGUGUGGGCAGCCUAAGGUCCUCAGUAGCUGCCUGGGUAUUGCCACCCCCCUCGUGCUGCUUCCUGAACAGGCCGCUCAGCCAGGACCAAGACCCAGGGCCUGGAACAGCCACUGCAGAGGCCAUUCCAGCCUCUCGUCGCCCUUCCACUCUGAGGCUCACUGCCCUGCGCCCUCGCUGCCGCCGCCAGCCUGGAGCUCUUCACUGUAGCCAUCGGACUCCCCACACGGUCGCCAGAUGCCACUGCAGCAGGAUUCCUGUUACCCCAGCAGGAUGAAGAUGCUCACCACUGGACGCCUCUGUGUCCUCAGCCCCGUUUCCAGACUCUACUGGUGCUGCCGCCACCGUGCAGCAACCAAACUCCCAAACCCCAGCUGGACUAUGAUGCUGCCCACCAAGGGCCCAACGUCAAUGCCCUUCACCCCCCGCCAUGAUGCCUGACUCCAAUGCCCCAUGCCGGCUCCCGGAUGAAGCUGCAUGUUGUUGCUGCCACCACCAGACUCCAUCAUGGACGCAUGACAGCGAUACUCAGCACUGGAUGCCCACUUCACCCACUGCAGCCAGACUCCUGUGGCACUGCAGGACAGAAAUGAUCAUGGCAACAUCCCUCUGUUGUCACCACAGCAGCUUCUGGACUCUUCUGCUGCCACCACCACUGUGAGUAUGCAGCAAGGGAUCUCCCAAACAGCAGCUGGAUGCCAACACCUCAGCUGUUGCCACCCCCACGCCAACUCUCAACUCCGGACCUCCUUCGCCUGAUGCCCUACGCCUGAAGCAGCUACAUGUUGCUGCUGCUGCCACCAGAUGCUACCACUCCAUGAGGCCUCUUCAGUGAUUCCAUCCCAAAGAUGCUGCUGUGCUGCCCAAGACCACAGAAGCUGGGAAGUUGGGCAGUCUCCAUCCCAGUCGCCUCAUCAGUGCCCACCGCUUGCCGCCUGCCUUUCCUCCCCCAGGACCACCCACCAGUCCUUCUGGGCCUUUGAACAGGAGUUGUGCUGACUCAGGGAACUCAUCCAAGGAAAACAACUGACCAUCAGGAAGAAGGAAACACCAGAGAAGCUUGAGGAUCAGAAGGACACUAGCCCUGCUCUGGUCACCCUGGAAGCUGGCUAGCCUGCACACACCAAAGCUUGAGGAAACAGCAGCCCUGCUUCAGCCACUUGAGGGCUGGCUGAUCAAUGCAAGGAGGAAAAUAAACUAGGCAACAGGACAAAUGGACUGUUUCGUCCUGUAAGAGGGCUCCCACACUGUGGGGCAUGGCCACCCCUUACUUCUGUCAUAUGCACAGUCCUCUCCUUGGUCUUUACUACAGGACUGACAACCACCAAACACACAGCUAACCCAUAAUGGGGGGCGGGGCAAGGGAAGAUGGGAGGGACUUUGGAUUGGGCAGAGGGGAGUGUGGGAGGGGAGGGGAUAUGGGAGUGGGAAGGAUGGUGGAAUGAGGUGGAUUGUAUUAAUCUAUGUACAUGUAUGAUUGCAGGAAUGGGGUGACUGUGCACUGUGUCUAACCAGAGAAAUGAAAAGUUGCCUCCGUUUGUGUUUAAUAGUCAAAAUGCAUUCUGCUGUUAUAUAUAACUAAUUGAAAAAAAUUCAUAAAGGUCUAAGGCUUAAAAGGAAGUUUAGACACUUUAAUGGUCAUAUAAAUAUGUAUACUUUUCUUAUAUAAAAUUUAAACUUAUUAAUUAAAUUGAAAAAAAAAAAAAAACAACUAGCACAUGUACUAGUUCAAACCUGAAAGGGCAUUAAGGCUUGGGAACCAAGCUCACUCUUUGGAGGAUGGUUUUUCUAUUCUUGGUGGAUUCAAAAGUUUAAUUGACAUAGUAUGGAUUAUGCUAUUGUUUAUUGCUUUCAUAUUUGUCUCCCCUUUACAAUGAAACUAUUGGGUCAACUAUAGAAGCAGCUGUUAGAGGGGGGGGGGCAGGAGGAGGGAAACAUGGAGGGAGAAAUUAAGAUUAUGGCAUUAUAUAAAAUUUUAAGCCUAGAAGAUGAUGUUUUUUGAUUUAAAGGGUUAAAUAAUGAGCAUAGAGGGGGUAACGAUGUAUCACAAAUACUCCAAAUAGUCCAAAUGAUGUAGUGUCCAAAAGAUCCCCACCUUAAUUGUAAUAUAUAAGCCUUUCUCCUAGUAAACAAGAUUUUUUUUUUGAAGUCAACAGGAUUUCUAGAGAGCUCAUUGUAGUUUAGCUCCUCUUUAUUGUAAAGGUCAGGUUUCUCUUUCUUGUAAAAGUUAGGUCUGCAGGGCUGGGGUUGUGGCUCAGUGUUAGAACACUUACCUAGCAGGUGUGAGGCACUGGGUUUGAUUCUUACACCACAUAAAAAUAAAAUAAGGUAUUGUGCCCAUCUACAACUUAAAAAAAAGUUGUGUCAGCAAUCAAACUUGUUGAUGUACAAAAGUUACUCUUUCUCUUUUCUUAGUAAAAUCUUGUGAAACCUCUGUCCAAUCUAAGAACAUGGAAGAAAAAGUAACUAUUAUGUUAGCCAUUGUGUUGUGUAACCAUUCACUGAGUAGAAAUCCCAGAGAACUUCCAUACCUGGGGUCCAGGGAUUUUUUGGCAUUAGCCCCUCUGGAUUACACCAGCUUAAAUAAACCUUGUUCCUGCACAUUUCUCAAGUGUCCAGCCUCCUCUGUCCUACAUCAAUACCUGCUUGAAAUGCUAGAAUGUCCCCAUUCUUGAAGGACACUCAGAGACAGUCUCUCUGGCUCUGCCACAGUAUGAAUUCUAUCCAAAGAUAUUAAUCACAAAAAACUAAAGGGAGAUUACACUAUAGUGACCUCCUGGGGGGAGAUUCAGUGUUGCAUGAUGAAACUUGUAUACAUAUAUUGAAUUGCUAUGAUAUACCCUGUAAAGUAUAGAAAUGAUACAUCUGAAUAAACAUGUUUUGUGAGAAAUUGAA